AAUGGCUGCAGUAAUUUGACUGUACAAAGGUAGCAUAAUCAUUAGUUUUUUAAUUAAAAGCUUGUAUGAAAGGUUGGACGAAAUAAAAUCUGUCUCUUUUUAAAAAAAAUUAGAAUUUUAUUUUUAAGUUAAAAAGCUUAAAUUUUUAUAAAAGACGAGAAGACCCUAUAGAGUUUUAUAAUUUUAAUUUAGUAAUUAAUUUAGAUUUAUUUAUUUUAUUUUAUUUAAAAUUAUUUUAUUGGGGUAAUAAAAAGAUUAAAAAAAUUCUUUUUUAUAUAAAUCAUUAAUAUAUGAAAAUUUAUGAUCCAUUAAGUUUUGAUUAUAAGAUUAAAUUACCUUAGGGAUAACAGCGUAAUUUUUUUUUAGAGUUCUUAUCGAUAAAAAAGUUUGCGACCUCGAUGUUGGAUUAAAGAUUAAUUUAGGUGCAGAAGUUUAAAUUUUUGGUCUGUUCGACCAUUGAAUCUUUACAUGAUCUGAGUUCAAACCGGUGUAAGCCA
This 497-nucleotide ribosomal RNA is filed under the name Trechus flavocinctus. Its description in RNAcentral is "partial 16S ribosomal RNA". The stretch from base 343 to 497 matches the Rfam family "Bacterial large subunit ribosomal RNA", at positions 2473 to 2628 of the family's 2925-position model. Lineage: Eukaryota; Metazoa; Arthropoda; Insecta; Coleoptera; Carabidae. The record is from RNAcentral.